RNAcentral lists this ribosomal RNA (1438 nucleotides) under uncultured bacterium. RNAcentral describes it as "16S ribosomal RNA". It matches the Rfam family "Bacterial small subunit ribosomal RNA". The record is from RNAcentral.
AGAGUUUGAUCAUGGCUCAGAACGUACGCUGGCGGCACGCCUAACACAUGCAAGUCGAGCGAGGUAGCAAUACCUAGCGGCAGACGGGUGCGUAACAUGUGGGAAUCUGCCUUUUGGUUCGGAAUAACACGGGGAAACCUGUGCUAAUACCGGAUAAGUCCUUACGGAGAAAGUUUUAAUGCCAAAAGAUGAGCCCGCAUUUGAUUAGUUUGUUGGUGAGGUAAUGGCUCACCAAGACUACAAUCAAUAGCUGAUUUGAGAGGAUGAUCAGCCACACUGGGACUGAGAUACGGCCCAGACUCCUACGGGAGGCAGCAGUGGGGAAUCUUGCACAAUGGGCGAAAGCCUGAUGCAGCGAUGCCGCGUGAGUGAAGAAGGCCCUUGGGUUGUAAAGCUCUUUUGUCGGGAAAGAUAAUGACUGUACCCGAAUAAGAAGGUCCGGCUAACUUCGUGCCAGCAGCCGCGGUAAUACGAAGGGACCUAGCGUAGUUCGGAAUUACUGGGCUUAAAGAGUUCGUAGGUGGUUGAAAAAGUUGGUGGUGAAAUCCCAGAGCUUAACUCUGGAACUGCCAUCAAAACUUUUCAGCUAGAGUAUGAUAGAGGAAAGCAGAAUUUCUAGUGUAGAGGUGAAAUUCGUAGAUAUUAGAAAGAAUACCAAUUGCGAAGGCAGCUUUCUGGAUCAUUACUGACACUGAGGAACGAAAGCAUGGGUAGCGAAGAGGAUUAGAUACCCUCGUAGUCCAUGCCGUAAACGAUGUGUGUUAGACGUUGGAAAUUUAUUUUCAGUGUCGCAGGGAAACCGAUAAACACACCGCCUGGGGAGUACGACCGCAAGGUUAAAACUCAAAUGAAUUGACGGGGACCCGCACAAGUAGUGGAGCAUGUGGUUUAAUUCGAAGAUACGCGCAGAACCUUACCAACACUUGACAUGUUCGUCGCGACUCUAAGAGAUUAGAGUUUUCGGUUCGGCCGGACGAAACACAGGUGCUGCAUGGCUGUCGUCAGCUCGUGUCGUGAGAUGUUGGGUUAAGUCCCGCAACGAGCGCAACCCUCACUUUUAGUUGCCAUCAUUAAGUUGGGCACUCUGAAAGAACUGCCAGUGAUAAGCUGGAGGAAGGUGGGGAUGACGUCAAGUCCUCAUGGCCCUUACGUGUUGGGCUACACACGUGCUACAAUGGUAUCUACAACAGGAAGCAAGACUGCGAAGUUAAGCAAAUCCCUAAAAGAUACCUCAGUUCGGAUUGCACUCUGCAACUCGAGUGCAUGAAGCUGGAAUUACUAGUAAUCGUGGAUCAGCGUGCCACGGUGAAUGCGUUCCCGGGUCUUGUACACACCGCCCGUCACACCAUGGGAGUUGGUUCUACCUUAAGGCAAGGUUUCAAACCCUUGACCACGGUAUAGUCAGCGACUGGGGUGAAGUCGUAACAAGGUAGCCGUA